GACCUAAUGGUGAAACGGUAUCGCGUCCACACUUCAUAUAUAAUCAUCAUCCACAUUUCGCGGAAGUCCCCGUUUGAACCCGGGUUGGGUCG
Molecule: non-coding RNA, 92 nt
Organism: Mycena latifolia
Lineage: Eukaryota; Fungi; Basidiomycota; Agaricomycetes; Agaricales; Mycenaceae
Source: the annotation of a GenBank genome assembly